This 813-nucleotide long non-coding RNA is filed under the name Betta splendens (Siamese fighting fish). RNAcentral's name for it is "lncRNA (ENSBSLG00000013865.1)". The record is from RNAcentral. Lineage: Eukaryota; Metazoa; Chordata; Actinopteri; Anabantiformes; Osphronemidae.
AUGAGGAGCUUGAUUUAUUUUCUGGCUCUCGUCAGCUCAGCUGGAGCCCUUGUGUGUCAGUCCUGCUCAGAUGCUCAGUGUUCAAACACAGCACCAGUGACUUGUUCCUCAGAGACCAUGUGUCUGGCAGCUUCUGCAGAAAUCAAUGAAGAGGGCAACAUUAGACAGCUGACCUACAAGGCAUGUGCAUCAUCCUCUCUGUGUCCAGCAACUGGCAGCCAGACAUUUUCAGUCAACUUGGCUUUAUCAAAAGCAGUUUUAGCUGUUGGUUGCUGUGACACUGACAACUGCAACUCUCUAACUCCGCCUAUCCCUGCUGCUCAGUCGCUCAACAGCCUGUCAUGUAAAUACCGCGACCCUUCCCUUCCUGCUACUGGCGUCACUCAGUGUAGGGGAAUAGAAGACAGAUGCUUUCAAGUGAAGGGGACGACUGGGUCCAGCGUAGAUCAAGCUUCCGGCUGUGCAUCCAACAACCUGUGUGCUGCUGCUGCCAGUCUGGCUGCUCUGCCAAUACUACAGAGUUUCCCUUAUUUGAGGAAUCAGAUAAGUUGUUGUCAGAGCAAUUUAUGUACUGACCUUACAACAACCACCACUACACCACCACCACCACCAAAAACCACUACUACACCACCACCACCACCACCAAGAACCACCACUAGACCACCAUCACACCACCACCAGCACCACCAAGAACCACCACUACACCACCACCAGCCCCACCAAGAACCACCACUAGACCACCACCACCACCAAAAAAAGCAUAACUAACAUCACAAAAAGCACCAAUAAACAUUUAAUGAAAGUUUAUUUACA